RNAcentral lists this microRNA precursor (168 nucleotides) under Pelobates cultripes (western spadefoot toad). Lineage: Eukaryota; Metazoa; Chordata; Amphibia; Anura; Pelobatidae. The record is from RNAcentral.
GCAGACACAUUCCAACCAAUCAGCAGCAGACCCUCCCUCCCAGACCCUCCCAUCUCCUGGACAGCUCACUAAUAAUGCAGCUUCACAAUGAAUGUAAAAUGGAUGCUGUCCAGGAGGUGGGAGGGUCUGGGAGGGAGGGUCUGCUGCUGAUUGGCUGGAAUGUGUCUG